UCAGAUUGAACGCUGGCGGUAUGCUUAACACAUGCAAGUCGAACGGUAACAGCAGAGCUUGCUCUGGCUGACGAGUGGCGGACGUGAGUAACGCGUGGGAAUCUACCUAGUAGUGGGGGAUAGCCAGAAGAAAUUCUGAAUAAUACCGCAUACGCCCUACGGGGGAAAGAGGCCCUCUUCUUGAAAGGUCUCACUAUUAGAUGAGCCCGCGUUAGAUUAGCUAGUUGGUGAGGUAAGAGCUCACCAAGGCAACGAUCUAUAGCUGGUCUGAGAGGAUGAUCAGCCACAUUGGGACUGAGACACGGCCCAGACUCCUACGGGAGGCAGCAGUGGGGAAUAUUGGACAAUGGGCGCAAGCCUGAUCCAGCAAUACCGCGUGUGUGAAGAAGGCCCUAGGGUUGUAAAGCACUUUUAUGAGUGAAGAAAAGUUUAAGGCUAAUAACCUUAGGCCGUGACGUUAACGUCAGAAGCAGCACCGGCUAACUCCGUUCCAGCAUCCUCGGGAAUACUGAUGUUGCAAGCGUUAAUCGGAAUUACUUGGCUUAAAGCGCGCGUAGGCGGUUAUUUAAGUUAGAUGUGAAAGCCCCGGGCUCAACCUGGGAACUGCAUUUAAAACUGGCUAACUAGAGUAUGGUAGAGGAGAGUGGAAUUUCAGGUGUAGCGGUGAAAUGCGUAGAUAUCUGAAGGAACACCAGUGGCGAAGGCGGCUCUCUGGACCAAUACUGACGCUGAGGUGCGAAAGCGUGGGUAGCAAACGGGAUUAGAUACCCCGGUAGUCCACGCCGUAAACGAUGUCAACUAACUGUUGGGCGGGUUUACGCUUAGUGGUUUGCAUCUAACGCUUGAAGUUGACCGCCUUGGGAGUACGGCCGCAAGGCUAAAACUCAAAUGAAUUGACGGGGGCCCGCACAAGCGGUGGAGCAUGUGGUUUAAUUCGAUGCAACGCGAAGAACCUUACCAUCCCUUGACAUCAUCAGAACUUGUUAGAGAUAACUCGGUGCCUUCGGGAACUGAAUGACAGGUGCUGCAUGGCUGUCGUCAGCUCGUGUCGUGAGAUGUUGGGUUAAGUCCCGCAACGAGCGCAACCCUUUUCCUUAUUUGCCAGCACGUAAUGGUGGGAACUCUAAGGAGACUGCCGGUGAUAAACCGGAGGAAGGUGGGGAUGACGUGAAGUCAUCAUGGCCCUUAUGGGAUGGGCUACACACGUGCUACAAUGGCCAGUACAAAGGGCAGCCAACUCGCGAGAGUGCGCAAAUCCCAUAUAGCUGGUCGUAGUCCGGAUUGGAGUCUGCAACUCGACUCCAUGAAGUUGGAAUCGCUAGUAAUCGUGAAUCAGAAUGUCACGGUGAAUACGUUCCCGGGCCUU
This 1366-nucleotide ribosomal RNA is filed under the name uncultured prokaryote. Its description in RNAcentral is "partial 16S ribosomal RNA". It matches the Rfam family "Bacterial small subunit ribosomal RNA", at positions 24 to 1382 of the family's 1533-position model. The record is from RNAcentral.